RNAcentral lists this ribosomal RNA (468 nucleotides) under uncultured bacterium. RNAcentral describes it as "partial 16S ribosomal RNA". It matches the Rfam family "Bacterial small subunit ribosomal RNA", at positions 28 to 507 of the family's 1533-position model. The record is from RNAcentral.
GACGAACGCUGGCGGCGUGCUUAACACAUGCAAGUCGAACGGAAAGGCCCUGCUUUUGUGGGGUGCUCGAGUGGCGAACGGGUGAGUAACACGUGAGUAACCUGCCCUUGACUUUGGGAUAACUUCAGGAAACUGGGGCUAAUACCGGAUAGGAGCUCCUGCUGCAUGGUGGGGGUUGGAAAGUUUCGGCGGUUGGGGCUGGACUCGCGGCUUAUCAGCUUGUUGGUGGGGUAGUGGCUUACCAAGGCUUUGACGGGUAGCCGGCCUGAGAGGGUGACCGGCCACAUUGGGACUGAGAUACGGCCCAGACUCCUACGGGAGGCAGCAGUGGGGAAUAUUGCACAAUGGGCGGAAGCCUGAUGCAGCAACGCCGCGUGCGGGAUGACGGCCUUCGGGUUGUAAACCGAUUUCGCCUGUGACGAAGCGUGAGUGACGGUAAUGGGUAAAGAAGCACCGGCUAACUACGUG